AUGCACGCCGGUGGCCGCGCCGCCGCGCCUGGCGGAGAUGCCACCACCAACCCUGCCUCCCCGUACUUCAUCGACGCCACCCACCCGUACGCGGCCGCUGCCGCUUCCGCGCUCACCUCCCACCGCUCCAAGUCCAAGUGGUCCCAGCUCGCUUCCCUCCAGCUCCCCGACCCCCUCCCCGCGUCCGCCGCUUCCGCCGUCCUCCUCCUCCGCCGCCAUCGGCCCCACGUAGCCCUCAGCUUCCACCAAUUCGCCCUCCGCCGCCUCCUCCCCGCCCGCUCCCCUCCCCCGCUCAUCCUCUCCGCCNNNNCCGCGCACGUCGCGGCCGCCUCCCGCCUCCGGCGCGUGGCCAUAUAUGUCCUCUCCUCCGCCACCUGCCACUACUCCCCCUCCCAGAUCUUCAAUGCCAUCGCUGCCACCUUCCACCGCUUUGCGUCAGCCCCCUUCGUCUUCGACCUCCUCCUCCUCGCUUGCCACCGCUCCCGGCGCGAACCCCUCGCGGCGGCCUCCAUCACCCGCCACUACCUUGCCUCCGGCACCUGCCCCCUUCCCUCUACCGCGGCGUUGCUCUUCCGCUCCCUUCCUUGCGCCGAGUCCGCCCUCGAGAUGUACCGCCAAAUCUACACGCGACCGGGUCCAAGAACCAACCGCGUGCUCCAGCCGACGGCACAGACCUUUAACUCCCUCCUCCUCGCUUUCUACCGCCAUGGCAAGUGCGAAGAUUUCAACAUUGUGCUCGACGAAAUGGACAGGUACUCUUGCAAGCACAAUGUGGGCACUUACAACAUUCGGAUGGCUGCGUGCUGUGAUGACAGGGAGAUGGUGAAGGUAUGACGAUUGUGGAAUGAGAUGGUUCAGGGAGGGAUCCAACAAGAUGUCACCUCAUACGACAUGAUGAUUGGUGGGUAUUGUGCUGCCGGGGAGGUGGGGAUGGCAGAGGAGAUGUUUAAGGACAUGGAGAUUUGUGGGAUUGAGCCAAGUGUUACAACAUUCGAGUGGUUGGUCAGAGGGCAUUGUAGGACAGGGGAUGUUGAUGCUGCGAUGCUUGUUCGCAUAGACCUCAGAAGGAGGGGGUUUAGUAUGGCGGCGGAGGUUGUCGAGGAGAUGGUUCAUAGAUUGUGUAAGAAGAGGAGAGUUGAGGAGGCAUUAGGUAUUUUGAGGGCGGAGAUGAAGAACGAAGAGUUCGCACCGAAUCGGGGAAGCUAUGAGGUACUGAUAAGGGGAUUUUGUGAGGAAGGGGAAGUGGAGGUGGCGAUGAGACUCCAGGCAGAGAUGGCUGGGAAGGGAUUCAAAACCUGUGGUGAGGUAUACCAUGCUUUUGUCCGGGCUUAUGAGAAGGAUGAGGACCGUGAGAUGGUUGAGAGGUUGAGGAAGGAAAUGGCAGCGAUAGGCAUCGAGGAUGCAAGUGACCCGGAUUGUAUGCAAUGA
This 1428-nucleotide ribosomal RNA is filed under the name Triticum aestivum (bread wheat). RNAcentral describes it as "partial small subunit ribosomal RNA". The record is from RNAcentral. Lineage: Eukaryota; Viridiplantae; Streptophyta; Magnoliopsida; Poales; Poaceae.